This 127-nucleotide ribosomal RNA is filed under the name Cebus imitator (Panamanian white-faced capuchin). Lineage: Eukaryota; Metazoa; Chordata; Mammalia; Primates; Cebidae. The record is from RNAcentral.
AUCUACAGUCAUACCACCCUGAACAUGCCUGAUCUUGUCUGAUCGCGGAAGCUAAGCAGGGUCGGGCCUGGUUAGUACUUGGAUAGGUGACAAAAAUGGACUCUCAGUCUAGAGGCAGCUGUUAAGU